ACUGUCAGGUUUUGAAUUGCGUUUUACAGAGUAAUUGUCGUGCGCUGUUCUCGUGGUGUUGAUCUGGUGCUGGCGCUAUUUUGUUCAUUCUUGUCUUUUUUUUCUUUGCUUGUGAAAUUCAAGGAUGUUAAACGUUGCAACUAACUUAUUGUUUUUGCUUUUUUUUGGUUUGUAUAGUUUCGGACGUGUUUACUGGCAUUUCCAGUGAACGCUGAGGAUGCCCCAACGCCUCUAUUUACAAAUUUAAUUGCGAUUCGUCGGGCUGGUCGCCUGUAAGUGUCCGACCAGGGGGACGACGUCAUUUAUUUUUCUGGUCGUCCUAAUCAUUGAUUAGGCGUCCAAAUUGUCUGAUUAGUCGUUCGAUUAGCCAUCUCUGGUCGACCAGUGUGCAGCGGGCUAGAUGUGCUAUUGGGCUUCACCGUUUUUUGGUCAAGUAGCUGCAUAAAUCUGUAUAAAUCUGUUUGCGCCCCUAAACUCUAAAGCCUCCCCUGUGCCUGCGCCCCUCUCGUCUCUCCUAAACUUUCUGUCCUCUGUGGCUCUGUCGGCGUCGGCUGCUCCAGCCUCCAGGGCUCUCCAUCGUCCACCAGCGUCGGCAUGCAGCUCAUGCUUGAAGGUCAUCCCUGCCCCCUGCUCAUCUACAAGGCACAAGAUGAGAUGACACACAAGAUGAGCUCGUCAUCCGAAGAGUUUCAUGCUGCUGGUGGACGAAGAGGUGCUGAUGUUGAGGUCUUAUUCCCCGGGUCCAAUGUGGUUGGCAAUGGCAAUGCAACUGCAAGUGAUUCUGUUCCUCCGGUGACCUCAAAUGUUGAUAGCACAGACCCUGCUUCGGCAUUAUCAGCUGCCGCAGACUCAAAAAGUUUUGCUGAAAAGGCUAUUGCAGCACUCCCUCCUGAGCUUAGUGCACAAGCAACUGACCCAAAAAGAAAGGCAAGGUAACAGGACCCAGGAUGGAAGUUUGGGUGGUGGCGAGACACAACAAAAAAGAUUUUGCUCAGUGUAUUUUCUGUUCGAAGAUUGUUCCUUCCGGAAUCAAAAGGUUCAAGCAGCAUAUUGCCAGUGGGUUUGGUGACACCAUGAAGUGUGCUAGAGUACCAGAAUUGGUUUCAAAGGAAAUGCACAUGUAUCUGAAAAGGAACAUGAGACUUGUGAUUACUGAUAAUAUUGAAGGUGAAGAGGGAGAAGAGCGGAAUGAUGAAGGUCCUGAACCAAGUUCUGGGACAAAAAACAAGCAAGCAAAGAAGAAAAUUGCCCAAACUGCCAUGUCCUCAUUUCUUGUAUCCGUUCCUCCAAAACUAAGUACCCAGAAGGCAAGCAAAUCAAUGAGUGCCAUGCUUUGCAAGACUCCAGAAGUAGUUGCAGAGAGGCAUAAAAACAAAACUUCUCAGGCCACCCUUAAGCACUGCGCAAAGAAAGGGACACAAGCGCAACAAAUUGUUGACGACCAUGUAGUUGAUUUUCUAUAUGAGAACAAGAUUCCAUUGAAUGUCGUAAACUCAAGAAGUUGGCAGCUUAUGUUGGAAUCUAUUGGUCAGUACGAUCCUGGAUAUCGUGGCCUAUCGUAUCAUGAGGCUAGGGUACCUUGGCUUGAAAGGGCAGUGAAGAGAACAUCGACAUUGAGAGCUAAGCACGAAGAGGCUUGGAAGGAAUAUGGUUGCUCAAUUAUGUUAGAUGGGUGUGAAAGGGAAAUGUGCCCUUGGACAAUUUCUAUAAUGUUUUGGUGAUUAAGUGUCCAACACAUUUAAUUGAGUUCUAAUGUGCAAAAUAAAGUGAGAAGUGCAAAUCAAGGAAAAAGGUAUGUUUCUAGACUUGGUGAAUUGUUUUGUGUACUAACAUGGUUAUCCAAGUGCUAGAAACAGUGACUAAAGAAGAAGAAAGGAAAAGGGAAAAGCUUGGCUCUAUGCAGCCAAUCUUCAGCUCGGCUUGGCACACCGGACUGUCCGGUGGUGCAUCGGACAAUGUCUGGUGCGCCAGACUGGUCCGCGUGAAAAGGCCGCUCUCGGGACUCGACGACGGCGUACGACUAUAAUUCACCGGACUGUCCGAUGAGUCAUUCGCGGUGAACUCGUCGGCCUCGAGAAAAGCAAAGGGGUGACGUGGCUAUAAUUCAUCGGACUGUCCGGUGGUGCACCGGACUGUCCGGUGAGCCAAUGGUCUCAUGCGCCAACGGUCGGCCGCGCAAUCUUUGCGCGACACGUGGACUGCUCCAACGGUCGGCUGGUGCACCGGACUGUCCGGUGUGCACCGGACUGUCCGGUGUGCACCGGACAGUGUCCGGUGCGCCAAUCAGCCCAGAGGAGCAAUGGUCGGAUAUGCCAAAUUUGGAAUGAGAUCAAGCACCGG
This 2340-nucleotide unclassified non-coding RNA is filed under the name Zea mays. RNAcentral describes it as "misc RNA Zm00001eb192300". Lineage: Eukaryota; Viridiplantae; Streptophyta; Magnoliopsida; Poales; Poaceae. The record is from RNAcentral.